Molecule: ribosomal RNA, 253 nt
Filed under: uncultured bacterium
Lineage: Bacteria
Description: partial 16S ribosomal RNA
Rfam family: Bacterial small subunit ribosomal RNA
Source: RNAcentral
UACGUAGGGGGCAAGCGUUGUCCGGAUUUAUUGGGCGUAAAGAGCGUGUAGGCGGCCAUUCAGGUCAGCUGUGAAAACUCGAGGCUCAACCUCGAGACGUCGGUUGAAACCGUUUGGCUAGAGUCCGGAAGAGGAGAGUGGAAUUCCCGGUGUAGCGGUGAAAUGCGCAGAUAUCGGGAAGAACACCAGUGGCGAAGGCGGCUCACUGGCCCGGUACUGACGCUGAGGUGCGAAAGCGUGGGGAGCAAACAGG